This 325-nucleotide ribosomal RNA is filed under the name Physarum pseudonotabile. Its description in RNAcentral is "bacterial SSU rRNA". It matches the Rfam family "Eukaryotic small subunit ribosomal RNA", at positions 80 to 350 of the family's 1831-position model. The record is from RNAcentral. Lineage: Eukaryota; Evosea; Eumycetozoa; Physariida; Physaraceae.
UCUGAAUCUGCGAACGGCUCCGCAAACCAGUUGUAAACCAUAGCAAGCAUGCCUCGGGUCGGUCGAAAGGCUGAUCUGGGGCUAUAAGGAUAACCCUGGUAAUUCUGAGGCUAAUACAUGAACGUAACCCCUGGCUGAAGGGCAACCGGACGCUGGGGACCGUGCGAGUAGGGCGCAAAGUUUAUUGGGAAUAGUCGCACAGUUCGACCGCCAUACCAAACAGUAUCCGCUACGUCUCCUCACGGGGGCCGGUGGUGUCUGGGCGGCUCUUGCAAGGUGCUUCUGACCUAUCAACUAGAUGGCAGCGUAAAGGACAUGCUAUGGU